RNAcentral lists this ribosomal RNA (619 nucleotides) under uncultured bacterium. RNAcentral describes it as "bacterial SSU rRNA". It matches the Rfam family "Bacterial small subunit ribosomal RNA", at positions 338 to 948 of the family's 1533-position model. The record is from RNAcentral.
CCUACGGGAGGCAGCAGUGGGGAAUUUUGGACAAUGGGGGCAACCCUGAUCCAGCAAUGCCGCGUGAGUGAAGAAGGCCUUCGGGUUGUAAAGCUCUUUUGUCAGGGAAGAAACGGUUUGACCUAAUACGUUGAACUAAUGACGGUACCUGAAGAAUAAGCACCGGCUAACUACGUGCCAGCAGCCGCGGUAAUACGUAGGGUGCAAGCGUUAAUCGGAAUUACUGGGCGUAAAGCGUGCGCAGGCGGUUAUGUAAGACAGAUGUGAAAUGCCCGGGCUCAACCUGGGAACUGCAUUUGUGACUGCAUGGCUAGAGUUUGGCAGAGGGGGGUAGAAUUCCACGUGUAGCAGUGAAAUGCGUAGAUAUGUGGAGGAAUACCGAUGGCGAAGGCAGCCCCCUGGGUCAAGACUGACGCUCAUGCACGAAAGCGUGGGGAGCAAACAGGAUUAGAUACCCUGGUAGUCCACGCCCUAAACGAUGUCUACUAGUUGUCGGGUCUUAAUUGACUUGGUAACGCAGCUAACGCGUGAAGUAGACCGCCUGGGGAGUACGGUCGCAAGAUUAAAACUCAAAUGAGUAGUAGCGNGAGAGUGCGACGACGACGACGAGGGAGGGAGG